This 253-nucleotide ribosomal RNA is filed under the name uncultured bacterium. RNAcentral's name for it is "partial 16S ribosomal RNA". It matches the Rfam family "Bacterial small subunit ribosomal RNA", at positions 524 to 776 of the family's 1533-position model. The record is from RNAcentral.
UACGUAGGGCGCAAGCGUUAUCCGGAAUUAUUGGGCGUAAAGAGCUCGUAGGCGGUUUGUCGCGUCUGCCGUGAAAGUCCGGGGCUCAACUCCGGAUCUGCGGUGGGUACGGGCAGACUAGAGUGAUGUAGGGGAGACUGGAAUUCCUGGUGUAGCGGUGAAAUGCGCAGAUAUCAGGAGGAACACCAAUAGCGAAGGCAGCUCGCUGGGACGUUACUGACACUGAGGCGCGAAAGCGUGGGGGGCGAACAGG